Molecule: transfer RNA, 98 nt
Filed under: Pseudomonas aeruginosa
Lineage: Bacteria; Pseudomonadati; Pseudomonadota; Gammaproteobacteria; Pseudomonadales; Pseudomonadaceae
Description: tRNA-Pro(ggg)
Source: RNAcentral
GUACAUCCUGGCCGGCGUUCGCGGCUUCCCUGGCGGGGGCGCGGCAACGGCAGCCUGGGCGGUCGUUGAGGCCGGGGCUCAGAUCCGGCGGCUGCGCA